This is a long non-coding RNA of Triticum dicoccoides, 790 nucleotides long. RefSeq lists it as uncharacterized. The transcript is spliced from 2 exons. The record is from RefSeq and is a predicted model, not a curated record. NCBI's taxonomy places the organism in Eukaryota, Viridiplantae, Streptophyta, Magnoliopsida, Poales, Poaceae.
UUUUCUCCUCUAGCUCAUUUGUCUUCGUUCCCAUUUCGAGCGGCGAGUGGUUGAAGGCAGAGAGCCAUGGCGGCUGGAGAUCUCACUCACUGAUCUCUCGAGGUCGAGCCGGUGCUUGGGUGUCUGGUGUCCCCCCUGGCCCCGCCCGGCUUGCUUGUCCUCAAGCGCUCGCAGAGGAAGAGGCGAUCCCUGUGGUGAUCCGGCUGCGCUGUCGUCUCUGCUUCGCUUGAUUUCGCGGCGCUCCUCCCCAUUCCCAUGUGUUAGUCUGCGAGCCCUGUGUCCCCCUCCUCAUCCACCAUCCAUCCUGUGGUUGAUUUUAAUGGACUAAAAAGGAGUACGUCCGAGGUUUUUGCGUUCAUAGGGAAAGGAGAAGAAGAGGACAAAGGGGAAACACGAGGAGUGGCUGUCAGGUGUUUUUUAUGUCUGUUUGGGUGUCGGGCGAGGGGGGCAGUUGAAUGAGAUACCCAUCAGCGAGCAGCGGACAUUCAUUGUUCUGAACAUACAACCGCAACUAUUUGAUUGGCUCAAAAAUUUGAAUGAAUCCGAAUUGGUUUUCAGCUGACUGUCCAAUAGACAGCUCCUUGUGAAUUUGACGCUAUAAUUCAUAGUGGGUUCUUUUAGUGUAAUUACUUCAUCUUAUCAUUGAAUUUAUUGUGUAUUUUGUAUAGGAUUUCUUAGUGUAAUUAAGAUAUCUUAUUAGUGUAAUUAUACUAGUGUAUUUUUACUCUAUCUCUGUGAUUUUGAUUUACAUUGUAAAUUCUCAUGGAAUUUUAGUGUGGUAUCACUGUAA